Molecule: ribosomal RNA, 229 nt
Filed under: Goniomonas pacifica
Lineage: Eukaryota; Cryptophyceae; Goniomonadida; Goniomonadaceae
Description: partial Bacterial large subunit ribosomal RNA
Rfam family: Bacterial large subunit ribosomal RNA
Source: RNAcentral
AGGGGUGAAAGGCCAAUCAAACUUCGUGAUAGCUGGUUCUCCCCGAAAUGCAUUUAGGUGCAGCGUUGCGUGUUUCUUGCCGGAGGUAGAGCUACUGGAUGGCCGAUGGGCCCUACAAGGUUACUGACGUCAGCCAAACUCCGAAUGCCGGUAAGUGAGAGGACGGCAGUGAGACUGUGGGGGAUAAGCUUCAUAGUCGAGAGGGAAACAGCCCAGAUCAUCAGCUAAG